GACGACGCUGGCGGCGUGCUUAACACAUGCAAGUCGAACGAGAUACCGGAGCUUGCUCCGGUGGAAAGUGGCGAACGGGUGAGUAACACGUGAGAAAUCUGUCCUAGAGACCGGGACAACCAUCGGAAACGAUGGCUAAUACCGGAUACCCUCACAUGGUCGCAUGGUCGAGUGAGGAAAUGCUCAGGUGCUCUAGGAGGAUCUCGCGGCCUAUCAGCUAGUUGGUGGGGUAACGGCCUACCAAGGCAUCGACGGGUAGCUGGUCUGAGAGGACGAUCAGCCACACUGGGACUGAGACACGGCCCAGACUCCUACGGGAGGCAGCAGUGGGGAAUAUUGCGCAAUGGGCGAAAGCCUGACGCAGCAACGCCGCGUGAGGGAUGACGGCUUUCGGGUUGUAAACCUCUUUCAGUGAUGACGAAAAUGACGGUAGUCACAGAAGAAGCUCCGGCCAACUACGUGCCAGCAGCCGCGGUAACACGUAGGGAGCGAGCGUUGUCCGGAUUUAUUGGGCGUAAAGAGCUCGUAGGCGGUUUCGUAAGUCGGAUGUGAAAACUCAGGGCUCAACCCUGAGACGCCAUCUGAUACUGCGAUGACUAGAGUCCGGUAGAGGAGCAUGGAAUUCCUGGUGUAGCGGUGGAAUGCGCAGAUAUCAGGAGGAACACCAACGGCGAAGGCAGUGCUCUGGGCCGGUACUGACGCUGAGGAGCGAAAGCAUGGGGAGCAAACAGGAUUAGAUACCCUGGUGGUCCAUGCCGUAAACGUUGGGCACUAGGUGUGGGGGUCUUCUAACGGAUUCCGUGCCGUAGCUAACGCAUUAAGUGCCCCGCCUGGGGAGUACGGCCGCAAGGCU
This 853-nucleotide ribosomal RNA is filed under the name uncultured bacterium. RNAcentral's name for it is "bacterial SSU rRNA". It matches the Rfam family "Bacterial small subunit ribosomal RNA", at positions 28 to 895 of the family's 1533-position model. The record is from RNAcentral.